GUUGGCGCCGAGGUCAAAGAGAUCGCUCCACAUCUCGCCCAUAAAGCCGUGCUCUAGUGCUCGAACACGAGCCUCGGCCAGAACCGCACAGUCGCCUUUGGCGUCGCACGCACCGUAACGGGAAUGCGGGUCGGUGCGCCGCUCUAUGGCAUCUGCCGCUUUGUAGGCCGACCGCGCACGCAAUGCCAACGUCCACAGUUUAUGCUGAUCAUCGCUAGACGUGUGGCGCGCAUGGCACAUGAGACGGUGGGCGCUCGCCAGUGCGCGCGAGACGACCAUGUCGAUGGCCGCAUGGGCCAUGGCCGUAUCGGGCGACGCCGAUGCAAGUUGGAGCAAGGCAAUGUCUGUGUCCAAGUCGACUCGCGCGCCAGGGUCCAACAACGGACAGUUGUCGACAUUGAUGCCGCGCAGCGGUCUCAGCGGCGCCAGCAAGGGCGAUUCCCUGUAGAGGCGAAUCAAAAGCGGCGUCUCAAAAGGCCUCGCGCGCAUGGCCGGCCUAGAUCUUGCCAAGAGAUCGACGACGGUCCGAGCACCCAGCACGGUCUCGCCGAGAGCCUCGACAAUCAAGGCCUCAAACUGUUCGGUCCAGUAGAGACUAUUCGAUUGACCCACGCGCGCCAGCAGAAAGAGCGCCUCGUCGACCGUUAUGCACACUUUUUGGUGGCGCCCAUAAUCGCGCAGCAUGUUCCUGGCCGAUUUGGGAUCAUAGAUCAUGCAGCGCGCGAUCGAGUGCAUUCUCUGGGCGCGAACCAACGACCGGUCGAACCACUCGACACUCUCCAGACAGCGGGCGCUCGCCAAGCGCAAUGCGUGACGUCCGCGGAGCACGCGCAGCGCGAUUUGGCGUCGCUUGCGCGCAUGCAAACCGCCGCGCCCAUUGUGCACAUCAUUGUCGUCGCCCCCACUGUCGCCACCGCAGUCGAUGUUUGCGUCGGUGUGCACGUCGACCAAUUGGUCGGGUAUGACGGCGAGUGGAUGCGUGUCGAGAUAGGCGUCGACGUCUUUCGGUCCACAAAGGCGCACGACGGCCACUGUGAGGGAUUCAAAUGGGGUCAUGGUGGCCGAUGCGACGUCGUGCGCACGAGGUCGAGUGAUGGCAUAGUCGAUGAGGCCGCGCCUGCCGCUGGUCACCAUGACGGCGCCGGCAUCGGUCAGCGACGCGCCCAUGGAGAGGCACCAUCGUUCGGCAGCCUCGGGAUCGCCAGCAUAGGGGUCAUCGCCGGGCGCCGUCGCCAACAGCGAUGCCACACACGACGCGCGGACCAUACAUCGAGAUUGAAACGUGGCACAUAUUGACGCCCAAAGGCGGCAUACGGCGCGCGCACAAAAGAGCCAUCGCGCAUCGAGGGUCUCGCCCAAGAUGAGCGCCAACACGUCCAACGGCAAAUCGCUGGCUGUCAUAGAAUAUGGAGGAUGUUGCGCAUUGCCACGCGACGAGGAAUCGUCAGGGACGCGGCAGUCUUGGGUGGCAUCGGGCUCCCUCUUGUCCGCUGUGACAAAAUUGCC
Molecule: long non-coding RNA, 1506 nt
Filed under: Pandoravirus neocaledonia
Description: hypothetical ncRNA
Source: RNAcentral